RNAcentral lists this ribosomal RNA (253 nucleotides) under uncultured bacterium. RNAcentral describes it as "partial 16S ribosomal RNA". It matches the Rfam family "Bacterial small subunit ribosomal RNA", at positions 524 to 776 of the family's 1533-position model. The record is from RNAcentral.
UACGGGGGGGGCAAGCGUUGUUCGGAAUUACUGGGCGUAAAGGGCUCGUCGGCGGCCAACUAAGUCGGAUGUGAAAUCCCCAGGCUUAACCUGGGAACUGCAUCCGAUACUGGAUGGCUUGAAUUCGGGAGAGGGAUGCAGAAUUCCAGGUGUAGCAGUGAAAUGCGUAGAUAUCUGGAGGAAUACCGGUGGCGAAGGCGGCAUCCUGGACCGGCAUUGACGCUGAGGAGCGAAAGCCAGGGGAGCAAACGGG